RNAcentral lists this ribosomal RNA (1003 nucleotides) under Psychrosphaera sp. 1_MG-2023. RNAcentral's name for it is "bacterial SSU rRNA". It matches the Rfam family "Bacterial small subunit ribosomal RNA", at positions 1 to 1000 of the family's 1533-position model. The record is from RNAcentral. Lineage: Bacteria; Pseudomonadati; Pseudomonadota; Gammaproteobacteria; Alteromonadales; Pseudoalteromonadaceae.
UAAGUGAAGAGUUUGAUCAUGGCUCAGAUUGAACGCUGGCGGCAGGCCUAACACAUGCAAGUCGAACGGUAACAUGAACUAGCUUGCUAGUUUGAUGACGAGUGGCGGACGGGUGAGUAAUGCUUGGGAAUUUGCCUUUAGGUGGGGGACAACAGUUGGAAACGACUGCUAAUACCGCAUAGUAGCUACGGCUUAAAGAGGGCUUCGGCUCUCGCCUUUAGAGAAGCCCAAGUGGGAUUAGGUAGUUGGUGAGGUAAAGGCUCACCAAGCCGACGAUCCCUAGCUGGUCUGAGAGGAUGAUCAGCCACACUGGAACUGAGACACGGUCCAGACUCCUACGGGAGGCAGCAGUGGGGAAUAUUGCACAAUGGGCGCAAGCCUGAUGCAGCCAUGCCGCGUGUGUGAAGAAGGCCUUCGGGUUGUAAAGCACUUUCAGCGAGGAGGAAGGUUUAGUAGUUAAUACCUGCUAGAUUUGACGUUACUCGCAGAAGAAGCACCGGCUAACUCCGUGCCAGCAGCCGCGGUAAUACGGAGGGUGCGAGCGUUAAUCGGAAUUACUGGGCGUAAAGCGUACGCAGGCGGCCAUUUAAGUCAGAUGUGAAAGCCCCGGGCUCAACCUGGGAACUGCAUUUGAAACUGGAUGGCUAGAGUGUGAGAGAGGGUGGUAGAAUUUCAGGUGUAGCGGUGAAAUGCGUAGAGAUCUGAAGGAAUACCAAUGGCGAAGGCAACCACCUGGAUCAACACUGACGCUCAUGUACGAAAGCGUGGGUAGCAAACAGGAUUAGAUACCCUGGUAGUCCACGCCGUAAACGAUGUCUACUAGCAGUUCGUCUCUUAAGAGAUGUCUUGCGCAGCUAACGCAUUAAGUAGACCGCCUGGGGAGUACGGCCGCAAGGUUAAAACUCAAAUGAAUUGACGGGGGCCCGCACAAGCGGUGGAGCAUGUGGUUUAAUUCGAUGCAACGCGAAGAACCUUACCAUCCCUUGACAUCCAGAGAAUUUUC